GACGAACGCUGGCGGCGUGCUUAACACAUGCAAGUCGAACGCUGAGGCUUGGUGCUUGCUCUGUGUGCAUGAGUGGCGAACGGGUGAGUAACACGUGUGUAACCUGCCUUUGACUCUGGGAUAAGCCGGGGAAACUGGGUCUAAUACUGGAUACGAUAUUCCACCGCAUGGUGGUUUGUGGAAAGGCUUUUGCUGGUUUUGGAUGGGCUCACGGCCUAUCAGCUUGUUGGUGGGGUAGUGGCCUACCAAGGCGACGACGGGUAGCCGGCCUGAGAGGGUGACCGGCCACACUGGGACUGAGACACGGCCCAGACUCCUACGGGAGGCAGCAGUGGGGAAUAUUGCACAAUGGGCGGAAGCCUGAUGCAGCGACGCCGCGUGCGGGAUGACGGCCUUCGGGUUGUAAACCGCUUUCAGCUGGGAAGAAGCGAGAGUGACGGUACGUGCAGAAGAAGCACCGGCUAACUACGUG
RNAcentral lists this ribosomal RNA (472 nucleotides) under uncultured bacterium. RNAcentral describes it as "partial 16S ribosomal RNA". It matches the Rfam family "Bacterial small subunit ribosomal RNA", at positions 28 to 507 of the family's 1533-position model. The record is from RNAcentral.